Long non-coding RNA from Homarus americanus (American lobster), 226 nucleotides. RefSeq lists it as uncharacterized. NCBI's taxonomy places the organism in Eukaryota, Metazoa, Arthropoda, Malacostraca, Decapoda, Nephropidae. The record is from RefSeq and is a predicted model, not a curated record. The transcript has 3 exons.
UAUCUUUGAAUGAUUUUUCUCUCUUUUUUUCCCCCGCCACUGCCAACCUUCCCCCCCACCACCACCACCACCCCUCAGGAGCCUUGGUCACCUGUCCGGCCUUCUCCCCUCCUUCAUAGCGACAGGGACCCCUUGUCGCCCACGCCCGUUAAGAUGUCCCCGUUGGCGCAACAGAAGGAACGGGACCCGUCUUCGCCCACUCCAGUGAGAUUGUUUUUACAGAGGG